UACAGGGGGGGCAAGCGUUGUUCGGAAUUACUGGGCGUAAAGGGCUUGUAGGUGGCCAACUAAGUCACACGUGAAAUCCCCAGGCUUAACCUGGGAACUGCGUGUGAUACUGGAUGGCUUGAAUCCGGGAGAGGGAUGCGGAAUUCCAGGUGUAGCGGUGAAAUGCGUAGAUAUCUGGAAGAACACCGGUGGCGAAGGCGGUCAACUGGCCCUAAACUGACGCUCAGGCACGAAAGCGUGGGGAUCAAACAGG
Molecule: ribosomal RNA, 253 nt
Filed under: uncultured bacterium
Lineage: Bacteria
Description: partial 16S ribosomal RNA
Rfam family: Bacterial small subunit ribosomal RNA
Source: RNAcentral